Xiphophorus hellerii (green swordtail) is the source of this 837-nucleotide long non-coding RNA. RefSeq lists it as uncharacterized. The transcript has 3 exons. The record is from RefSeq and is a predicted model, not a curated record. Lineage: Eukaryota; Metazoa; Chordata; Actinopteri; Cyprinodontiformes; Poeciliidae.
GAGGAGGAGGAGGAGGAGGAGGACAGCUGAUCUCCACCUUGCAGGGAGGAAAGCAGGUGGUUCAGACGGUGCAGAUGUUGGUGAACUGCAGACCAUCGCGGUUCUUCCUGCAGCCUCUGAGUUGGAGGAUCUCAUCAGUGUCCGUCUUCCUGACCGCCGGUCGGUUUUUACCUCCAGGAUGUCCAGAGACCUUCAGCUUCUGGAGCAGGAACCACAUGAGCUCCAUGUGCUGAUGAAACAUUUCUAAUUUAAAAUGUGUCUGAUGUUCUUAGAGUUGAAGUGCAUUAACAAUCUGUUGUUUUUCACUUCAAUAUGUUUAAUUAUGAUUCAUCUGAUGUCCAAGUUACACUGAGAACAAAUAAAACUGUAUUCCUUCUAAUCUGACUGGUUCUAGUUUUAAUCAAACCUUCAUGUUUCCACUUUUUAGUCUCUAAGAAUUAAAAGUUUAAACUCUUAGUCUUAUUUAUCACUAAUUAAGGUUCCAGGAUUGUAUUAGGACCUUGAUGCCAAACAAACUACAGUUUGUACAAUAAUGUGAGGAGAGAUUAUAAAAAAGAGACUUUGUUCACUGAGAGAAAACAGCAUUUAUUUUCUUCUUUUAUUUGCCUCGGCUCUUCAUGGAGCUCUGCCAUCAGCUGGUAGCUGCUUCCUCCUGAAGGAAAUCCAGUUGUUGUUCUGACGGUUCUCCUCAUCGUUCUCCAUCAUGUCCACCAUGUUCCUCCUCUUCUGUUCUCUGGGAAAAGAAAUCAGAUGUUAGAGCUUGCAGCACAUAAAUGUAGAUAAAUAACAGAGUUACUAAUGUGGGAGUUACAAACACAGAAGGAAUUAUUUAAAACG